Molecule: ribosomal RNA, 500 nt
Filed under: uncultured bacterium
Lineage: Bacteria
Description: partial 16S ribosomal RNA
Rfam family: Bacterial small subunit ribosomal RNA
Source: RNAcentral
AUUGAACGCUGGCGGCAUGCCUUACACAUGCAAGUCGAACGGCAGCACGGGAGCAAUCCUGGUGGCGAGUGGCGAACGGGUGAGUAAAGUAUCGGAACGUGCCCAGUCGUGGGGGAUAACGUAGCGAAAGUUACGCUAAUACCGCAUACGAUCUACGGAUGAAAGCGGGGGAUCGCAAGACCUCGCGCGAUUGGAGCGGCUGAUAUCAGAUUAGGUAGUUGGUGGGGUAAAGGCGCACCAAGCCGACGAUCUGUAGCUGGUCUGAGAGGACGACCAGCCACACUGGGACUGAGAAACGGCCCAGACUCCUACGGGAGGCAGCAGUGGGGAAUUUUGGACAAUGGGGGCAAGCCUGAUCCAGCCAUGCCGCGUGCAGGAUGAAGGCCUUCGGGUUGUAAACUGCUUUUGUACGGAACGAAAAGGUUUGGCCUAAUAAGCUGGACCCAUGACGGUACCGUAAGAAUAAGCACCGGCUAACUACGUGCCAGCCGCCGCAGUAA